This 80-nucleotide transfer RNA is filed under the name Ipomoea nil (Japanese morning glory). It matches the Rfam family "tRNA". From Rfam's summary of the family: Transfer RNA (tRNA) molecules are approximately 80 nucleotides in length. Lineage: Eukaryota; Viridiplantae; Streptophyta; Magnoliopsida; Solanales; Convolvulaceae. The record is from Rfam by way of RNAcentral.
GAUGGUUUGGCUGAGUGGUCUAAGGCGCCAGAUUUGGCUCUGGUUCUGAAAGGGCGUGGGUUCAAAUCCCACAGCCGUCA